AGCUCAGCACCUGCAAGAGAUGGAGAUUCUGCCUGAGUAUGAAAACUGAGAGUUUUGCCAUUGUUCUACCUGCUACAUCGUUGAAAGAACACAGUAUAAAGGACUGUGACCAGGUCCUGGACAGUGAUGAGGAAGAAUCUUGAUUCUCCAAACAAGCAAGGAGACAAGUACCCACAAAAGACACCCACAGGGACCCAAGUUUUCUUCCUGUUCCUGCUGAAGCUUUUGAAGGCAGAGGGUAAUUUGUAUAGUAGCCGAAAUAAAAGAAGCUUAACAGAUGAAAUCCAUGGUCCAACCCUGUGGACAUCAUUGAGGAGUUAAUGAAAUUUCUGAGCCUGGAACAGAUUAUUAGGCAACUGCUGAGAUUGGAAAAAGAUUAAGCUACUGAAUUGCAGCAGAACCAAAGGCAGGAGUCUAAAGUCAGCAUUCAUCAUGCCCCAUGGAAGAUGAACAAGUCAGGAAAUAGAAAUGGGUCCCAAAGACCUUCCCUUAACUAUUGUUAUCUCUGGAGCAGUCUAACCUUGUCAGAUCUUCCUUCAUGAUAAGUGACAGAAGCCUUGUUCUGCACAAUGGUUCUCAGCAGCAGCCUGGUGUACAAAAGCCCAGCCUAGUGACAUCUCCAGAUGUUUGUGUCCCAUUUCCUUGGUGACAACUGCAAAGAGAUCAUCAUAUCACGAGAGUGACGCUGGUGUGAUGGAGCCUGGAGCUGAGAAGGCUGUGUAACACCAACCCCUACCAGGAAGAAACAAGAAGUGCAUAUAUAUAUAUAUAUAUAUAUAUAUAUAUAUAU
This is a long non-coding RNA of Ictidomys tridecemlineatus (thirteen-lined ground squirrel), 790 nucleotides long. RefSeq lists it as uncharacterized. Lineage: Eukaryota; Metazoa; Chordata; Mammalia; Rodentia; Sciuridae. The record is from RefSeq and is a predicted model, not a curated record.